AGUUGACCUCGAUCAGUGAUCCCGCUGAACUUAAGCAUAUCAAUAAGCGGAGGA
RNAcentral lists this ribosomal RNA (54 nucleotides) under Clohesyomyces aquaticus. RNAcentral describes it as "partial 28S ribosomal RNA". Lineage: Eukaryota; Fungi; Ascomycota; Dothideomycetes; Pleosporales; Lindgomycetaceae. The record is from RNAcentral.